UACGUAGGUGGCAAGCGUUGUCCGGAUUUAUUGGGCGUAAAGCGAGUGCAGGCGGUUCAAUAAGUCUGAUGUGAAAGCCUUCGGCUCAACCGGAGAAUUGCAUCAGAAACUGUUGAACUUGAGUGCAGAAGAGGAGAGUGGAACUCCAUGUGUAGCGGUGGAAUGCGUAGAUAUAUGGAAGAACACCAGUGGCGAAGGCGGCUCUCUGGUCUGCAACUGACGCUGAGGCUCGAAAGCAUGGGUAGCGAAC
RNAcentral lists this ribosomal RNA (250 nucleotides) under uncultured bacterium. Its description in RNAcentral is "partial 16S ribosomal RNA". It matches the Rfam family "Bacterial small subunit ribosomal RNA", at positions 524 to 773 of the family's 1533-position model. The record is from RNAcentral.